CUACCAUGCAGCCGAGCGGUAUUGUUUCUUCGGAAAUGAGAGAGCGGCGUACGGGUGCGGAACACGUGUGCAACCUGCCUUUAUCAGGGGGAUAGCCUUUCGAAAGGAAGAUUAAUACCCCAUAAUAUAUUAGAUGGCAUCAUUUGAUAUUGAAAACUACGGUGGAUAAAGAUGGGCACGCGCAAGAUUAGAUAGUUGGUAGGGUAACGGCCUACCAAGUCAAUGAUCUUUAGGGGGCCUGAGAGGGUGAUCCCCCACACUGGUACUGAGACACGGACCAGACUCCUACGGGAGGCAGCAGUGAGGAAUAUUGGACAAUGGGUGAGAGCCUGAUCCAGCCAUCCCGCGUGAAGGACGACGGCUCUAUGGGUUGUAAACUUCUUUUGUAUAGGGAUAAACCUUUCCACGUGUGGAAAGCUGAAGGUACUAUACGAAUAAGCACCGGCUAACUCCGUGCCAGCAGCCGCGGUAAUACGGAGGGUGCAAGCGUUAUCCGGAUUUAUUGGGUUUAAAGGGUCCGUAGGCGGAUCUGUAAGUCAGUGGUGAAAUCUCACAGCUUAACUGUGAAACUGCCAUUGAUACUGCAGGUCUUGAGUAAGGUAGAAGUGGCUGGAAUAAGUAGUGUAGCGGUGAAAUGCAUAGAUAUUACUUAGAACACCAAUUGCGAAGGCAGGUCACUAUGUCUUAACUGACGCUGAUGGACGAAAGCGUGGGGAGCGAACAGGAUUAGAUACCCUGGUAGUCCACGCCGUAAACGAUGCUAACUCGUUUUUGGGUUUUCGGAUUCAGAGACUAAGCGAAAGUGAUAAGUUAGCCACCUGGGGAGUACGUUCGCAAGAAUGAAACUCAAAGGAAUUGACGGGGGCCCGCACAAGCGGUGGAUUAUGUGGUUUAAUUCGAUGAUACGCGAGGAACCUUACCAAGACUUAAAUGGGAAAUGACAGAUUUAGAAAUAGAUCCUUCUUCGGACAUUUUUCAAGGUGCUGCAUGGUUGUCGUCA
RNAcentral lists this ribosomal RNA (1000 nucleotides) under Chryseobacterium sp. CT 7-1. Its description in RNAcentral is "bacterial SSU rRNA". It matches the Rfam family "Bacterial small subunit ribosomal RNA", at positions 49 to 1057 of the family's 1533-position model. Lineage: Bacteria; Pseudomonadati; Bacteroidota; Flavobacteriia; Flavobacteriales; Weeksellaceae. The record is from RNAcentral.